UUAAGUUAUUAAGGGCGCACGGUGGAUGCCUUGGCACUAGAAGCCGAUGAAGGACGUUACUAACGACGAUAUGCUUUGGGGAGCUGUAAGUAAGCUUUGAUCCAGAGAUUUCCGAAUGGGGAAACCCAGCAUGAGUUAUGUCAUGUUAUCGAUAUGUGAAUACAUAGCAUAUCAGAAGGCACACCCGGAGAACUGAAACAUCUUAGUACCCGGAGGAAGAAAAAGAAAAUUCGAUUCCUUUAGUAGCGGCGAGCGAAACGGGAAGAGCCCAAACCAACAAGCUUGCUUGUUGGGGUUGUAGGACACUCUAUACGGAGUUACAAAGGACGACAUUAGACGAAUCAUCUGGAAAGAUGAAUCAAAGAAGGUAAUAAUCCUGUAGUCGAAAAUGUUGUCUCUCUUGAGUGGAUCCUGAGUACGACGGAACACGUGAAAUUCCGUCGGAAUCUGGGAGGACCAUCUCCUAAGGCUAAAUACUCUCUAGUGACCGAUAGUGAACCAGUACCGUGAGGGAAAGGUGAAAAGCACCCCGGAAGGGGAGUGAAAUAGAACCUGAAACCGUGUGCUUACAAGUAGUCAGAGCCCGUUAAUGGGUGAUGGCGUGCCUUUUGUAGAAUGAACCGGCGAGUUACGAUUUGAUGCAAGGUUAAGCAGUAAAUGUGGAGCCGUAGCGAAAGCGAGUCUGAAUAGGGCGUUUAGUAUUUGGUCGUAGACCCGAAACCAGGUGAUCUACCCUUGGUCAGGUUGAAGUUCAGGUAACACUGAAUGGAGGACCGAACCGACUUACGUUGAAAAGUGAGCGGAUGAACUGAGGGUAGCGGAGAAAUUCCAAUCGAACCUGGAGAUAGCUGGUUCUCUCCGAAAUAGCUUUAGGGCUAGCCUCAAGUGAUGAUUAUUGGAGGUAGAGCACUGUUUGGACGAGGGGCCCCUCUCGGGUUACCGAAUUCAGACAAACUCCGAAUGCCAAUUAAUUUAACUUGGGAGUCAGAACAUGGGUGAUAAGGUCCGUGUUCGAAAGGGAAACAGCCCAGACCACCAGCUAAGGUCCCAAAAUAUAUGUUAAGUGGAAAAGGAUGUGGCGUUGCCCAGACAACUAGGAUGUUGGCUUAGAAGCAGCCAUCAUUUAAAGAGUGCGUAAUAGCUCACUAGUCGAGUGACACUGCGCCGAAAAUGUACCGGGGCUAAACAUAUUACCGAAGCUGUGGAUUGUCCUUUGGACAAUGGUAGGAGAGCGUUCUAAGGGCGUUGAAGCAUGAUCGUAAGGACAUGUGGAGCGCUUAGAAGUGAGAAUGCCGGUGUGAGUAGCGAAAGACGGGUGAGAAUCCCGUCCACCGAUUGACUAAGGUUUCCAGAGGAAGGCUCGUCCGCUCUGGGUUAGUCGGGUCCUAAGCUGAGGCCGACAGGCGUAGGCGAUGGAUAACAGGUUGAUAUUCCUGUACCACCUAUAAUCGUUUUAAUCGAUGGGGGGACGCAGUAGGAUAGGCGAAGCGUGCGAUUGGAUUGCACGUCUAAGCAGUAAGGCUGAGUAUUAGGCAAAUCCGGUACUCGUUAAGGCUGAGCUGUGAUGGGGAGAAGACAUUGAGUCUUCGAGUCGUUGAUUUCACACUGCCGAGAAAAGCCUCUAGAUAGAAAAUAGGUGCCCGUACCGCAAACCGACACAGGUAGUCAAGAUGAGAAUUCUAAGGUGAGCGAGCGAACUCUCGUUAAGGAACUCGGCAAAAUGACCCCGUAACUUCGGGAGAAGGGGUGCUCUUUAGGGUUAACGCCCAGAAGAGCCGCAGUGAAUAGGCCCAAGCGACUGUUUAUCAAAAACACAGGUCUCUGCUAAACCGUAAGGUGAUGUAUAGGGGCUGACGCCUGCCCGGUGCUGGAAGGUUAAGAGGAGUGGUUAGCUUCUGCGAAGCUACGAAUCGAAGCCCCAGUAAACGGCGGCCGUAACUAUAACGGUCCUAAGGUAGCGAAAUUCCUUGUCGGGUAAGUUCCGACCCGCACGAAAGGCGUAACGAUUUGGGCACUGUCUCAACGAGAGACUCGGUGAAAUCAUAGUACCUGUGAAGAUGCAGGUUACCCGCGACAGGACGGAAAGACCCCGUGGAGCUUUACUGUAGCCUGAUAUUGAAAUUCGGCACAGCUUGUACAGGAUAGGUAGGAGCCUUUGAAACGUGAGCGCUAGCUUACGUGGAGGCGCUGGUGGGAUACUACCCUAGCUGUGUUGGCUUUCUAACCCGCACCACUUAUCGUGGUGGGAGACAGUGUCAGGCGGGCAGUUUGACUGGGGCGGUCGCCUCCUAAAAGGUAACGGAGGCGCUCAAAGGUUCCCUCAGAAUGGUUGGAAAUCAUUCAUAGAGUGUAAAGGCAUAAGGGAGCUUGACUGCGAGACCUACAAGUCGAGCAGGGUCGAAAGACGGACUUAGUGAUCCGGUGGUUCCGCAUGGAAGGGCCAUCGCUCAACGGAUAAAAGCUACCCCGGGGAUAACAGGCUUAUCUCCCCCAAGAGUUCACAUCGACGGGGAGGUUUGGCACCUCGAUGUCGGCUCAUCGCAUCCUGGGGCUGUAGUCGGUCCCAAGGGUUGGGCUGUUCGCCCAUUAAAGCGGUACGCGAGCUGGGUUCAGAACGUCGUGAGACAGUUCGGUCCCUAUCCGUCGUGGGCGUAGGAAAUUUGAGAGGAGCUGUCCUUAGUACGAGAGGACCGGGAUGGACAUACCUCUGGUGUACCAGUUGUCGUGCCAACGGCAUAGCUGGGUAGCUAUGUGUGGACGGGAUAAGUGCUGAAAGCAUCUAAGCAUGAAGCCCCCCUCAAGAUGAGAUUUCCCAACUUCGGUUAUAAGAUCCCUCAAAGAUGAUGAGGUUAAUAGGUUCGAGGUGGAAGCAUGGUGACAUGUGGAGCUGACGAAUACUAAUCGAUCGAAGACUUAAUCAA
This 2921-nucleotide ribosomal RNA is filed under the name Staphylococcus aureus. RNAcentral's name for it is "bacterial LSU rRNA". It matches the Rfam family "Bacterial large subunit ribosomal RNA". The record is from RNAcentral. Lineage: Bacteria; Bacillati; Bacillota; Bacilli; Caryophanales; Staphylococcaceae.